RNAcentral lists this ribosomal RNA (591 nucleotides) under uncultured bacterium. RNAcentral's name for it is "partial 16S ribosomal RNA". It matches the Rfam family "Bacterial small subunit ribosomal RNA", at positions 355 to 1375 of the family's 1533-position model. The record is from RNAcentral.
UGGGGAAUUUUGGACAAUGGGCGAAAGCCUGAUCCAGCAAUGCCGCGUGUGUGAAGAAGGCCUUCGGGUUGUAAAGCACUUUUGUCCGGAAAGAAAUCCUUGGCUCUAAUACAGUCGGGGGAUGACGGUACCGGAAGAAUAAGCACCGGCUAACUACGUGCCAGCAGCCGCGGUAAUACGUAGGGUGCAAGCGUUAAUCGGAAUUACUGGGCGUAAAGCGUGCGCAGGCGGUUUGCUAAGACCGAUGUGAAAAUCCCCGGGCUCAACCUGGGAACUGCAUUGGUGACUGGCAGGCUAGAGUAUGGCAGAGGGGGGUAGAAUUCCACGUGUAGCAGUGAAAUGCGUAGAGAUGUGGAGGAAUACCGAUGGCGAAGGCAGCCCCCUGGGCCAAAUACUGACGCUCAUGCACGAAAAGGCGUGGGGGAGCAAACAGGAUUAGAUACCCUGGUAGUCCACGCCCUAAAACGAUGUCAACUAGUUGUUGGGGAUUCAUUUCCUUAGUAACGUAGCUAACGCGUGAAGUUGACCGCCUGGGGAGUACGGUCGCAAGAUUAAAACUUAAAUGAAUUGACGGGGUCAUAGCUGUUUCCU